GGUUAAGUGACUAAGCGUACACGGUGGAUGCCUUGGCAAUCAGAGGCGAAGAAGGACGUGCUAAUCUGCGAAAAGCUUGGGAGAGUUGAUAAGAAACGCUAUCAUCCCAAGAUAUCCGAAUGGGGAAACCCAAUAGGUGAAGAACCUAUUAUCAAAUGGUGAAUACAUAGCCAUUUGAAGCGAACCGGGAGAACUGAAACAUCUAAGUACCCCGAGGAAAAGAAAUCAACCGAGAUUCUGUGAGUAGCGGCGAGCGAAAGUGGAAGAGCCAGUUAGUUUUAGCAGUAGUAUUAAGAGAAUGAGUUGGGAAACUCAAUCAUAGAGGGUGAUAAUCCCGUAUCUGAAAAUGCAAUUGUGGAACUAAGCUAACGAUAAGUAGGGCGGGACACGUGAUAUCCUGUUUGAAGAUGGGGGGACCAUCCUCCAAGGCUAAAUACUCCUGAUUGACCGAUAGUGAACGAGUACUGUGAAGGAAAGGUAAAAAGAACCCCUGCGAGGGGAGUGAAAUAGAACCUGAAACCGUGUACGUACAAGCAGUAGGAGC
Molecule: ribosomal RNA, 544 nt
Filed under: Phocoenobacter skyensis
Lineage: Bacteria; Pseudomonadati; Pseudomonadota; Gammaproteobacteria; Pasteurellales; Pasteurellaceae
Description: partial 23S ribosomal RNA
Rfam family: Bacterial large subunit ribosomal RNA
Source: RNAcentral